This 396-nucleotide ribosomal RNA is filed under the name uncultured bacterium. RNAcentral describes it as "partial 16S ribosomal RNA". It matches the Rfam family "Bacterial small subunit ribosomal RNA", at positions 523 to 918 of the family's 1533-position model. The record is from RNAcentral.
AUACGUAGGUGGCAAGCGUUGUUCGGAUUUACUGGGUGUAAAGGGCGUGUAGGCGGAGAUGCAAGUCAGGAGUGAAAUCUAGGGGCUCAACCCCUAAACUGCUUUUGAAACUGUAUCCCUUGAGUAUCGGAGAGGCAGGCGGAAUUCCUAGUGUAGCGGUGAAAUGCGUAGAUGUUAGGAGGAACACCAGUGGCGAAGGCGGCCUGCUGGACGACAACUGACGCUGAGGCGCGAAAGCGUGGGGAGCAAACAGGAUUAGAUACCCUGGUAGUCCACGCUGUAAACGAUGAAUACUAGGUGUGGGGGGACUGACCCCCUCCGUGCCGCAGUUAACACAAUAAGUAUUCCACCUGGGGAGUACGAUCGCAAGAUUGAAACUCAAAUGAAUUGACGGGG